ACUGUCUAUGAUGAUUAUUAUCCCCCUUGCUUGAGUUUAACAGCCAUGAAAAAACUCACAUGCACUACCAUCUGAGACAGG
Small nucleolar RNA from Myripristis murdjan (pinecone soldierfish), 81 nucleotides. The record is from Ensembl. NCBI's taxonomy places the organism in Eukaryota, Metazoa, Chordata, Actinopteri, Holocentriformes, Holocentridae.